GAUGAACGCUGGCGGCGUGCCUAAUACAUGCAAGUCGAGCGAACGGACGAGAAGCUUGCUUCUCUGAUGUUAGCGGCGGACGGGUGAGUAACACGUGGAUAACCUACCUAUAAGACUGGGAUAACUUCGGGAAACCGUAGCUAAUACCGGAUAAUAUUUUGAACCGCAUGGUUCAAAAGUGAAAGACGGUCUUGCUGUCACUUAUAGAUGGAUCCGCGCUGCAUUAGCUAGUUGGUAAGGUAACGGUUUACCAAGGCAACGAUGCAUAGCCGACCUGAGAGGGUGAUCGGCCACACUGGAACUGAGACACGGUCCAGACUCCUACGGGAGGCAGCAGUAGGGAAUCUUCCGCAAAGGGCGAAAGCCUGACGGAGCAACGCCGCGUGAGUGAUGAAGGUCUUCGGAUCGUAAAACUCUGUUAUUAGGGAAGAACAUAUGUGUAAGUAACUGUGCACAUCUUGACGGUACCUAAUCAGAAAGCCACGGCUAACUACGUG
Molecule: ribosomal RNA, 497 nt
Filed under: uncultured bacterium
Lineage: Bacteria
Description: partial 16S ribosomal RNA
Rfam family: Bacterial small subunit ribosomal RNA
Source: RNAcentral